RNAcentral lists this ribosomal RNA (634 nucleotides) under uncultured bacterium. RNAcentral describes it as "bacterial SSU rRNA". It matches the Rfam family "Bacterial small subunit ribosomal RNA", at positions 90 to 711 of the family's 1533-position model. The record is from RNAcentral.
AGCGAGCGGCGGACGGGUGAGUAACACGUGGGUAACCUGCCCAAGAGACUGGGAUAACACCUGGAAACAGAUGCUAAUACCGGAUAACAACACUAGACGCAUGUCUAGAGUUUGAAAGAUGGUUCUGCUAUCACUCUUGGAUGGACCUGCGGUGCAUUAGCUAGUUGGUAAGGUAACGGCUUACCAAGGCAAUGAUGCAUAGCCGAGUUGAGAGACUGAUCGGCCACAUUGGGACUGAGACACGGCCCAAACUCCUACGGGAGGCAGCAGUAGGGAAUCUUCCACAAUGGACGAAAGUCUGAUGGAGCAACGCCGCGUGAGUGAAGAAGGGUUUCGGCUCGUAAAGCUCUGUUGGUAGUGAAGAAAGAUAGAGGUAGUAACUGGCCUUUAUUUGACGGUGAUUACUUAGAAAGUCACGGCUAACUACGUGCCAGCAGCCGCGGUAAUACGUAGGUGGCAAGCGUUGUCCGGAUUUAUUGGGCGUAAAGCGAGUGCAGGCGGUUCAAUAAGUCUGAUGUGAAAGCCUUCGGCUCAACCGGAGAAUUGCAUCAGAAACUGUUGAACUUGAGUGCAGAAGAGGAGAGUGGAACUCCAUGUGUAGCGGUGGAAUGCGUAGAUAUAUGGAAGAACACCA